GAUGAACGCUGGCGGCGUGCCUAAUACAUGCAAGUCGAGCGAACGGACGAGAAGCUUGCUUCUCUGAUGUUAGCGGCGGACGGGUGAGUAACACGUGGAUAACCUACCUAUAAGACUGGGAUAAAUUCGGGAAACCGUAGCUAAUACCGGAUAAUAUUUUGAACCGCAUGGUUCAAAAGUGAAAGACGGUCUUGCUGUCACUUAUAGAUGGAUCCGCGCUGCAUUAGCUAGUUGGUAAGGUAACGGCUUACCAAGGCAACGAUGCAUAGCCGACCUGAGAGGGGGACCGGCCACACUGGAACUGAGCCACGGUCCAGACUCCUACGGGAGGCAGCAGUAGGGAAUCUUCCGCAAUGGGCGAAAGCCUGACGGAGCAACGCCGCGUGAGUGAUGAAGGUCUUCGGAUCGUAAAACUCUGUUAUUAGGGAAGAACAUAUGUGUAAGUAACUGUGCACAUCUUGACGGUACCUAAUCAGAAAGCCACGGCUAACUACGUG
This 497-nucleotide ribosomal RNA is filed under the name uncultured bacterium. RNAcentral's name for it is "partial 16S ribosomal RNA". It matches the Rfam family "Bacterial small subunit ribosomal RNA", at positions 28 to 507 of the family's 1533-position model. The record is from RNAcentral.